This 443-nucleotide ribosomal RNA is filed under the name Clostridioides sp. ZZV14-6387. RNAcentral describes it as "bacterial SSU rRNA". It matches the Rfam family "Bacterial small subunit ribosomal RNA", at positions 338 to 795 of the family's 1533-position model. The record is from RNAcentral. Lineage: Bacteria; Bacillati; Bacillota; Clostridia; Peptostreptococcales; Peptostreptococcaceae.
CCUACGGGAGGCAGCAGUGGGGAAUAUUGGGCAAUGGGCGCAAGCCUGACCCAGCAACGCCGCGUGAAGGAAGAAGGCUUUCGGGUUGUAAACUUCUUUUGUCGGGGACGAAACAAAUGACGGUACCUGACGAAUAAGCCACGGCUAACUACGUGCCAGCAGCCGCGGUAAUACGUAGGUGGCAAGCGUUAUCCGGAUUUACUGGGUGUAAAGGGCGCGCAGGCGGGCUGGUAAGUUGGAAGUGAAAUCUGGGGGCUCAACCCCCAAACUGCUUUCAAAACUGCUGGUCUUGAGUGAUGGAGAGGCAGGCGGAAUUCCGUGUGUAGCGGUGAAAUGCGUAGAUAUACGGAGGAACACCAGUGGCGAAGGCGGCUUGCUGGACAUUAACUGACGCUGAGGCGCGAAAGCGUGGGGAGCAAACAGGAUUAGAUACCCCUGUAGUC